UCUUUUCCUUUUUUUCCAGCCGCCGCGGUAAUACGUAGGUGGCGAGCGUUGUCCGGAAUUAUUGGGCGUAAAGAGCAUGUAGGCGGCUUAAUAAGUCGAGCGUGAAAAUGCGGGGCUCAACCCCGUAUGGCGCUGGAAACUGUUAGGCUUGAGUGCAGGAGAGGAAAGGGGAAUUCCCAGUGUAGCGGUGAAAUGCGUAGAUAUUGGGAGGAACACCAGUGGCGAAGGCGCCUUUCUGGACUGUGUCUGACGCUGAGAUGCGAAAGCCAGGGUAGCGAACGGG
Molecule: ribosomal RNA, 283 nt
Filed under: Phascolarctobacterium faecium
Lineage: Bacteria; Bacillati; Bacillota; Negativicutes; Acidaminococcales; Acidaminococcaceae
Description: partial 16S ribosomal RNA
Rfam family: Bacterial small subunit ribosomal RNA
Source: RNAcentral